GUCCUCUUCUGGAUCAACCAUCUGGUGAUCCAUACACAAUGGUAGCUACUUGUUCCUUCAACUUCUUCAAUUUGUCAUGGACAAAAGGUGCUACAUAGAUCCACUUUAAGCCUUGAAGCCCUACCCUGGAUUCUUGACCUUUAUUUGUGGUAUCUGUAGGCUUGCUCACACUUUUUAUGUUAGUAACCUACCCUGGAUUCUUGACCUUUAUUUGUGGUAUCUGUAGGCUUGCUCACACUUUUUUUUUAUGUUAGUUCUAAUAUGAAUGUCUCACUGAGUUCCUUUUUUUGUUAGGCCUUCUCUAAGCUCAGCAUGCUUGCGGAGCAAAGGGGUGAUGCUUAUGCAAAUGCGGAU
Molecule: long non-coding RNA, 354 nt
Filed under: Setaria italica (foxtail millet)
Lineage: Eukaryota; Viridiplantae; Streptophyta; Magnoliopsida; Poales; Poaceae
Description: long non-coding RNA (SITA_LNC000713)
Source: RNAcentral